RNAcentral lists this ribosomal RNA (375 nucleotides) under uncultured organism. RNAcentral's name for it is "partial 16S ribosomal RNA". It matches the Rfam family "Bacterial small subunit ribosomal RNA", at positions 527 to 896 of the family's 1533-position model. The record is from RNAcentral.
GUAGGUGGCAAGCGUUGUCCGGAAUUAUUGGGCGUAAAGCGCGCGCAGGCGGUUCUUUAAGUCUGAUGUGAAAGCCCACGGCUCAACCGUGGAGGGUCAUUGGAAACUGGAGAACUUGAGUACAGAAGAGGAAAGCGGAAUUCCACGUGUAGCGGUGAAAUGCGUAGAGAUGUGGAGGAACACCAGUGGCGAAGGCGGCUUUUCUGGUCUGUAACUGACGCUGAGGCGCGAAAGCGUGGGGAGCAAACAGGGAUUAGAUACCCUGGUAGUCCACGCCGUAAACGAUGAGUGCUAAGUGUUAGGGGGGUUUCCGCCCCCUUAGUGCUGCAGCUAACGCAUUAAGCACUCCGCCUGGGGAGUACGGCCGCAAGGCUG